AUUGAACGCUGGCGGCAUGCUUUACACAUGCAAGUCGAACGGUAACAGACCGCAAGGUGCUGACGAGUGGCGAACGGGUGAGUAAUGCAUCGGAACGUGCCCAGUCGUGGGGGAUAACGCAGCGAAAGCUGUGCUAAUACCGCAUACGAUCUGUGGAUGAAAGCGGGGGACCGUAAGGCCUCGCGCGAUUGGAGCGGCCGAUGUCAGAUUAGGUAGUUGGUGGGGUAAAGGCCUACCAAGCCGACGAUCUGUAGCUGGUCUGAGAGGACGACCAGCCACACUGGGACUGAGACACGGCCCAGACUCCUACGGGAGGCAGCAGUGGGGAAUUUUGGACAAUGGGCGCAAGCCUGAUCCAGCAAUGCCGCGUGCAGGAAGAAGGCCUUCGGGUUGUAAACUGCUUUUGUACGGAACGAAACGGUCUGGGUUAAUACCCUGGGCUAAUGACGGUACCGUAAGAAUAAGCACCGGCUAACUACGUGCCAGCCGCCGCAGUAA
This 498-nucleotide ribosomal RNA is filed under the name uncultured bacterium. Its description in RNAcentral is "partial 16S ribosomal RNA". It matches the Rfam family "Bacterial small subunit ribosomal RNA", at positions 30 to 523 of the family's 1533-position model. The record is from RNAcentral.